UAAUAGAAACUGAAUGCC
RNAcentral lists this non-coding RNA (18 nucleotides) under Arabidopsis thaliana (thale cress). The record is from RNAcentral. Lineage: Eukaryota; Viridiplantae; Streptophyta; Magnoliopsida; Brassicales; Brassicaceae.